GAUGAACGCUGGCGGCGUGCCUAAUACAUGCAAGUCGAGCGAAAAGACGAGGAUCUGGCUCCUCUGACGUGAGCGGCGGACGGGUGAGUAACACGUAGAUAACCUACCUCUAUGACUGGGAUAACUUCGAGAAACCGGAGUUAAUACCGGAUAAUAUUUUGAACCGCAUGGGGCAGGAGAGAAUGACGGUUUGGCGGUCGCUUAUAGACGUAUCCGCGCCGCGUUGGCUAGUUGGCAAGGUAACGGCUUACCAAGGCGGCGAUGCGUAGCCGACGUGAGAGGGUGUAGCGCCCCUCUGGGAGUGACACGCGGCACAGACUCCUACGGGCGGCAGCGGUACGGACUCUUGCGCGAUGGGGGGAAGCCUGACGAAGCGGCGCCGGGCGGGUGCUGAAGGUCUUCGGAUCGUAAGACUGUCUUAUUAGGGAAAACCAAAUGUGUAAGUGACUAUGCUCUUCUUGACGGUAGCUAGUAAGAAAGCCCCGGCUAACUACGUG
Molecule: ribosomal RNA, 497 nt
Filed under: uncultured bacterium
Lineage: Bacteria
Description: partial 16S ribosomal RNA
Rfam family: Bacterial small subunit ribosomal RNA
Source: RNAcentral